This 229-nucleotide ribosomal RNA is filed under the name uncultured bacterium. RNAcentral's name for it is "partial 16S ribosomal RNA". It matches the Rfam family "Bacterial small subunit ribosomal RNA", at positions 104 to 334 of the family's 1533-position model. The record is from RNAcentral.
CGGGGUGAGUAAUGUCUGGGAAACUGCCUGAUGGAGGGGGGUAACUACUGGAAACGGUAGCUAAUACCGCAUAACGUCGCAAGACCAAAGAGGGGGACCUUCGGGCCUCUUGCCAUCGGAUGUGCCCAGAUGGGAUUAGCUAGUAGGUGGGGUAAUGGCUCACCUAGGCGACGAUCCCUAGCUGGUCUGAGAGGAUGAUCAGCCACACUGGGACUGAGACACGGCCCAG